RNAcentral lists this ribosomal RNA (527 nucleotides) under uncultured Glomeraceae. RNAcentral describes it as "SSU rRNA". It matches the Rfam family "Eukaryotic small subunit ribosomal RNA", at positions 548 to 1081 of the family's 1831-position model. The record is from RNAcentral. Lineage: Eukaryota; Fungi; Glomeromycota; Glomeromycetes; Glomerales; Glomeraceae.
UUGGAGGGCAAGUCUGGUGCCAGCAGCCGCGGUAAUUCCAGCUCCAAUAGCGUAUAUUAAAGUUGUUGCAGUUAAAAGCUCGUAGUUGAAUUUCGGGGUCAGUAGGUUGGUCAUGCCACUGGUAUGUACUGGUCUCACUGAUUCCUCCUUCCUGAUGAACUGUAAUGCCAUUAAUUUGGUGUUGCAGGGAAUCUGGACUGUUACUUUGAAAAAUUAGAGUGUUUAAAGCAGGCUAACGCCUGAAUACAUUAGCAUGGAAUAAUGAAAUAGGACGUUCGAUCCUAUUUUGUUGGUUUCUAGGAUUGACGUAAUGAUUAAUAGGGAUAGUUGGGGGCAUUAGUAUUCAAUUGUCAGAGGUGAAAUUCUUGGAUUUAUUGAAGACUAACUACUGCGAAAGCAUUUGCCAAGGAUGUUUUCAUUAAUCAAGAACGAAAGUUAGGGGAUCGAAGACGAUCAGAUACCGUCGUAGUCUUAACCAUAAACUAUGCCGACUAGGGAUCGGAUGAUGUUAAUUUUUUAAUGUACUC